Molecule: transfer RNA, 82 nt
Filed under: Candidatus Dormiibacterota bacterium
Lineage: Bacteria; Bacillati; Candidatus Dormiibacterota
Also listed under: 1 other name
Description: tRNA-Leu
Rfam family: tRNA
About the family: Transfer RNA (tRNA) molecules are approximately 80 nucleotides in length. Their secondary structure includes four short double-helical elements and three loops (D, anti-codon, and T loops). Further hydrogen bonds mediate the characteristic L-shaped molecular structure. tRNAs have two regions of fundamental functional importance: the anti-codon, which is responsible for specific mRNA codon recognition, and the 3' end, to which the tRNAs corresponding amino acid is attached (by aminoacyl-tRNA synthetases). tRNAs cope with the degeneracy of the genetic code in two manners: having more than one tRNA (with a specific anti-codon) for a particular amino acid; and 'wobble' base-pairing, i.e. permitting non-standard base-pairing at the 3rd anti-codon position.
Source: RNAcentral
GCGGGUGUGGCGGAAACGGUAGACGCACGACUCUUAAAAAGUCGGGCUUUGCAGCGUGUGGGUUCGAGUCCCACCACCCGCA